CAGCCGCCGCGGGAAAACGGAGGGGGCUAGCGUUGUUCGGAAUCACUGGGCGUAAAGGGCGCGUAGGCGGCCUGUUAAGUCGGAUGUGAAAGCCCGGGGCUCAACCCCGGAACUGCAUCCGAGACUGGCAGGCUUGAGACCGGGAGAGGAGGGUGGAAUAUCCAGUGUAGAGGUGAAAUUCGUAGAUAUUGGAUGGAACACCGGUGGCGAAAGCGGCUCUCUGGCCCGGAUCUGACGCUGAGGCGCGAAAGCGUGGGGAGCAAACAGGAUUAGAGACCCCUGUAGUCCCUGUCUCUUAUAC
Molecule: ribosomal RNA, 301 nt
Filed under: uncultured bacterium
Lineage: Bacteria
Description: partial 16S ribosomal RNA
Rfam family: Bacterial small subunit ribosomal RNA
Source: RNAcentral